GCCAGGCAUGGUGGCGCAUGCCUGUAGUCCCAGGUACUCGGGAGGCUGAGGCAAGAGGAUUGCUUGAGCCCAGGAGUUUGAGGUUGCUGUGAGCUAGGCUGACACCACGGCACUCUAGCCGGGGAAAUAGAGUGGGACUCUGAUUCAAAUAAAUAAAUAAAGAGAUAGCACAUAUUUCUCUUUCUUUUUUCUUGAGACAGAGUCUCGCUUUGUUGCCCAGGCUAGAGUGAGUACCAUGGCAUCAGCCUAGCUCACAGCAACCUCAAACUCCUGGACUCAAGCGAUCCUCCUGCCUCA
Molecule: signal recognition particle RNA, 297 nt
Filed under: Microcebus murinus (gray mouse lemur)
Lineage: Eukaryota; Metazoa; Chordata; Mammalia; Primates; Cheirogaleidae
Description: Metazoan signal recognition particle RNA (ENSMICG00000045189.1)
Rfam family: Metazoan signal recognition particle RNA
About the family: The signal recognition particle (SRP) is a universally conserved ribonucleoprotein. It is involved in the co-translational targeting of proteins to membranes.
Source: RNAcentral